This 41-nucleotide transfer RNA is filed under the name Orthotrichum pumilum. RNAcentral describes it as "partial tRNA-Leu". Lineage: Eukaryota; Viridiplantae; Streptophyta; Bryopsida; Orthotrichales; Orthotrichaceae. The record is from RNAcentral.
AAAAAUCCGUUGGAUUUAUUAACCGUGAGGGUUCAAGUCCC